GGCUCUUUGGGAAUGGAGAUAAAGAGUCGGACCUGCCCAGUGAAAAUUUUUAACGGCCGCGGUACUCUGACCGUGCAAAGGUAGCAUAAUCAUUUGCCUUAUAAUUGAAGGCUCGUAUGAAUGGUUUGACAAGAAUAUAGCUGUCUCUAUACGAUUUUGUAGAAUUUUAUUUUGAAGUGAAGAAGCUUGAAUAAAAUUGAUAGACAAGAAGACCCUAUCGAGCUUGAAAAAAGAUUACAGAUGCUUUAAAAUAUGUCUAAAAAAUUAUCUGUGGUAAAUUUUGGUUGGGGCGACUUAGGAACAAAUUGAGCUUCCUAAAUUCAUUUAAUACAGACAAGAUGAUCCAAAAAAUUUUGAUUAAUGAAAUUAGUUACCGUAGGGAUAACAGCAUUAUCUUCUUUAAGAGUUCUUAUCGAAAAGAGGGUUUGUGACCUCGAUGUUGGACCAGAAUGUCCUAAAGAUGCAGCAGUCUUUAAGGGUUGGUCUGUUCGACCAUUAAAAUUCUACGUGAUCUGAGUUCAGACCGGCGUGAGCCAGGUCAGUUUCUAUCUUUAAUUUAAACUAUAAAUUUAGUACGAAAGGACCAAUUUAUUAUAACUUGUUGUGUCGAAAGAUGUAAUUUAAUGAAGGUUAUUAUCAAAUUAGCAAAAUAAAUGCAAUUGACUUAGGAUCAAUAGAUAUAGGUGAAAUUCCUUUAUUUGAUAAUAAAGAUGGCAGAUGAA
RNAcentral lists this ribosomal RNA (722 nucleotides) under Columbella adansoni. RNAcentral's name for it is "partial 16S ribosomal RNA". The stretch from base 1 to 577 matches the Rfam family "Bacterial large subunit ribosomal RNA", at positions 1817 to 2925 of the family's 2925-position model. The record is from RNAcentral. Lineage: Eukaryota; Metazoa; Mollusca; Gastropoda; Neogastropoda; Columbellidae.